This 75-nucleotide transfer RNA is filed under the name Kordiimonas sp. RNAcentral's name for it is "tRNA-Thr". It matches the Rfam family "tRNA". Rfam says of the family: Transfer RNA (tRNA) molecules are approximately 80 nucleotides in length. Their secondary structure includes four short double-helical elements and three loops (D, anti-codon, and T loops). Lineage: Bacteria; Pseudomonadati; Pseudomonadota; Alphaproteobacteria; Kordiimonadales; Kordiimonadaceae. The record is from RNAcentral.
GCCGCUAUAGCUCAGGGGUAGAGCGCAUCAUUGGUAAUGAUGAGGCCGGUGGUUCAAUUCCACCUAGCGGCACCA